ACUAUUGUGCGGAGCCGUGGACAUGUGCUGCUCUCCUUCCUCCUCGUCUCUUUUAUCCAUCCAUCCAGCGCCCUCCCACCCAUCUGUGCUUCUCUCCUUCCUCUUCUCUCUAUCCGUGGCUCGCGCACACAACACACCACGCACCCUUCUACUCCGGUCCAUGGUGCCACGUUCUCCUCUCUCUUCCCUCCUCCACAUCGCAAAGCACCACCCCUCCCUCCCUCCCCGCCCCUGGAGUUCGUUCUGUUGACCCCAUCUCUCUCUUCUCCUUCACCGACGUGACCACCCCCAUCUGCAACAGCUGGACGAUUCGAUUUCCCAGGCCGUCUCGCCCGUGACCGAUGGCUGCUUCGCGUUCGUCGGUCGGUUGCGGUGCGGCCGCAUAUGGGCUCCUAGUGACCGGGCUUGCGCGCGGGGGAGGGGGGUUGGCUGGGCCUGUGGUGGAGCCGCGACAGUGGUGGCCUGCUUCAGGGUCGAGCUCGGCGGCAGCUUGAUGGGGCCGCAUGGAUCUGCGUCGGGGCUCCAGGCUCCGGAUCGGCGUGGUCGUGUCCAGCCCGCCCUCCUCCACCGGUGCCUUGCUGUGGCGUUCCGGGCCAGAUCUCGGAUGGCUUGAGGGGCGGCUUGGAUCGUGGCCUAUGUAGUGUGGCUGACCUGGGACUGGUCCUGGGCGAGCAUGCACACGACGCUGCUGUUCGGCGAGUGGAGGUGCCACGGGGAGUGGCGCUGCCUUUCUGAGGACAGGGCAACUUCGACGGCGAGCUGGACGCGUGGGCGUCGUUCCUGCCAGGUGGCGUCCUCCUGCGGCGGCGCCGCGGUCACCGCGCAGCCGGACUAGAAGGCGACCGGUGAAAGCUUUGCACGACGGAGCCGUCGCGACUGACUUGGACGCCUGGCGCCAGCGGCGACGGCCUCGAGGCUCUUGGAGACGCCAAGCCACGCCUGGCCCUUUCCUCGAGCCUCCUAUCGCGCCCGAGUGGAUCUCCCGAGGCAGCCUCAUCCGCCUUCGGGCGCCGCCGGUAAGCAGAGCCGUCGUCCGUGGGCUCCCGCAAGCUCAGACCGCUGCGACCAGCCAGACGCGCGGUGGUGAGCCAGUCCAGUAAGAGAUAAGGGUCGCGGCCAUAAAUUUCUAAUAAAUGCAGGGGGUUUACGCAAAAUUAAACAUUUUCUAGGGUGCCACUUAAACAGGGAUUGCGGGUUUAUUCAAAGAAACAUAGGGGUUUUUCGGAAAAACGCCGACGACGUACGACCAGAAGCAGUAAUUGCUUUAUUAGUAGGUAGAGAAAUUAGUGGGAAGAGCUGGCAUCAUCUCAAACACUUGGACAGAAAAGUUUUUUCCUUUUAAAAAGUGGGGGGUGAGGGAGUCCUGAACUAAGGGGUCCUCGUGUGUCCGACCUGUUAGCCAUGGGUCGGACUGGUGGGCUGUGAAAGAUACGAAGACCGACGACUGCACCCGUGUUCGGAUAGGACUCUCCUUGCCGUGGAAGGCAAGCUUGGCGACUAGAUAUGUAGAUUCCUUUUUUGUAACCGACCUUGUGUAAUCCUAGAUCCUCUCGGUGUCUAUAUAAACUGGAGGACUUAGUCCGGAGGACAGACAUUACCAUAACCAUACAAGCUAGGCCUUUAGGGUUUAGCUAUUACGAUCUCGUGGUAGAUCAACUCUUGUAAUAUUCAUAUUCAUCAAGAUCAAUCAAGCAGGACGUAGGGUAUUACCUCCAUAGAGAGGGCCCGAACCUGGGUAAAACAUUGUGCCCCUGUCUCAUGUUACCAUCGACCAUAGACGCAUAGUUCGGGACCCCCUACCCGAGAUCCGCCGGUUUUGACACCGGCAUUGGUGCUUUCAUUGAGAGUUCCACUGUGUUGUCGUCGAAAGGGUUGAUGGCUCGAUUUAUCGUCAAGGAAACUAUCACCUUCGGAGGAGCUCUGGCCUCAGGCCAAACCUUUCGGCUGGGCGAUUUAUCAUGAUCACCCGUUUGGCCCUUGAGCCGACGAUGAUGACCUCUCGAGUCAUCGAAAAUCGCCUCUGCGUUGAUUCUGAAUACGCCAAAAAGAUGGAUCCGACGGUGUAAGUGCAUCUAGUGCCGCCCCUAGUUGGUUUUGGAGUAUUGACGACAAACCUGGUUGAGGGACUAAUGUGUUUGUGAGAAUUGCAGGAUAACACAGGUAGAAGUCCCUCAUUGAUUCGGUUUUCCUACCAGAGAUGACCCCUAAAAAUGUAUGAAGACAUUGAAGUCAAAGGUGGUAUGUGAAGACAUUCACAUUGAAGACUAUGACAAGAGAAGACAUCGCGUGAAGACUAUGGAGCGCGAAGACUUAGCUGUUUCAUCGUUCUUUUUCUUCUUCAUUGAGUCAUAGGAACCACCGUACUAUUAAGUGGGGUCCAAGAGAACCAGUCAGAAUGACUGAAGUGAUGCUUAACCAAAAUCCUAUGUCUUCGAGUGAGGACUAUGAGAGCAAAUCUUAUCCAGAGUUGGAUAAGUUAGCUUUGCUUGUAGCCCAAGUAAAGUUGCCGCGUGUGUUUGAAAUCUGACCGUUGGAACACGUGUCAGUUCCUUAGUGACCCAGGGUCAUUUCGGACAAAUCAGGUCGGGUUGCCUAGUGGCUAUAAAUAGCCCACCCCUACAACCAUAAAUGGUUGGCUGCUUAGAGUUAGUAUACGGCUUUUGUCGUUUGAGAGCAACCCACCUCGAAGCCUUUGAGAGAGAAUUCCUUGUGAGGAUAAAGCCCUAAA
Molecule: ribosomal RNA, 2728 nt
Filed under: Triticum aestivum (bread wheat)
Lineage: Eukaryota; Viridiplantae; Streptophyta; Magnoliopsida; Poales; Poaceae
Description: partial small subunit ribosomal RNA
Source: RNAcentral